GUUUUGGUUGUGCCAAGAAAAUGGGAAGUGCAGGGACAGGGACUAUUUUCCAGACAUGGAGAGGGAGGGGCUGUUUGAAGGGAGGAUAUAUUCCUAGUUACUGCUGGUGGCAGCGAGUGCGGGGAGAAAGCUCUACUGUAAAGUAACCACGUGGGCAGCUGCACCACCAAGAGAGUGGCCAGCUGGGGACAGGGCUCACCAUCUCGCCUGCCAUCUGACUGGGUUUUAUAAGAAGCGAUGAGUUGCAGCUCCAGUGGACACCACCGGGGAAGGAGUGCGUGCCCCUGGCUGGGGAUUUGCUCUGUGUCUGAGGAGAUCACAAAGCUUCGCCAGCAACCUAGGACGGUUGAGAGGAACUGGCGGGGAGGGGGCAGGUCUGCGCUCGUGAUCAAAGGCGAGAAAGCCGCGCGCUGCAGGGGGCAUGCGCAGACCGGCCAAAGAUGGCUCUGAAAUCUUCCAACCAGUGGCGCCAGGAUGGACCCGACACCUAGAGUGGAGCACCCACGGGGCCACUCGAAGAAGAAUAUAUCUUUUCUUAAUCAUUCUGAAUCUUAAAUGAAUGUCAAAGCAUUUUCUACUCUUGUUUAUUUUAAAAGGUGAUGAAUGGUACUUACAACAGUUGAAUGAAAGUCAGUGCUGAUGACAACAUGCAUCUUAUAGGACUAAUCUUGUUCCUAACCAGGCCCAUAGCAAAAUUGCCAUUGACCUCAAUGGUGCAGGAUUGAGCCUUGUUUGCCAUAAAUAUAUUCUUGUGAAACAGACACAAGGGAUUCGUUCAGAAUGCCAGAAAUGCAUGCUGUUCCCUUUAAAGACACUGUUGAAAUGUAUAGGAAGAGCAAUAUUAUAUGCAUAUAUCUUAUAAAGAUGUGUUUGCCAAUAUACUUGUAAUAGAGCUCUCCUGUAUAUACAUAUUUUAAUAUUGUUUCAAAUGUUUAAAUCACUAGGCUGAUACUACCACCUCUGGGCAUCUGAUUACCUGAAAGAUGUAGACAAAUUGGAGAGCGUUCAGAGAAGAGUAAAAAAAAAUGAUUAAAGGCUGGACGGAUUUACUUCUGUGAAAGAAUAAUAAAGCUGAAUCUGUAUAGCUUAGGCUAAGCAAUAGCUAUGUUGUGAGGUAGGAGAGGAAGAAUAUAUGAAAAUAGUCUAUAAAUAGUUGAGAGAUGGAAAGAGAGGGAUUAUAUAGCAGCAGUAAAAAGCAAGGGUUCAGCAAGGAGUCCUAAUACCAAGAAAAAAUGAAAUUAUGACUAUAAAAUAGUUUUCCAAAGAAAAUGAUGAAAAACCUCUCUCAUUACAUCAGGGGAGGGGAACCACCAGCUUUCAGGCUGCAUUAGGCUCACUACUUCAUUUCAUCUGGCCAGUGGCAAAUCUGCUAUUUCCUUGUGGCCCCAAAGCACAGGGGAAAAUCAGAUAAGCACUAUGUGCUGCCCCCAUCGCCAAUGUCAGCUCAACAGCUCCCAUUCAUGGGAACCGUAGCCAGUUGGAACUAUGAGGGCAGAACCUAUGGGCAUGGUAGAAUGCACCAUGCAGUGCCAACUGGAAUCUCUAUAUAGAGGAUGGAUAUGAUGGCUGCUUCUGUGAGGGCCAGGAUUGGCAGGGAGAUUGCCUUAGCCCUGCUGUUCCACUGACGAGGAGCCAGCUCAGGUAAGCCAGAGCCUGCACCCUGAAUACCCUGCCCCUGGUCAGAACCAGCUCCUACUCCCAAAUACUCUCUCAUAGCCUGCAUCUGGCACCCUCUCCCACAUCUUAGCCUCUAGCCAAAAACAGAAACAUGAAAUAGGGACAUUGUCCUAAUACAUUAUGCUGCUUAAUUUCAUGUACCUCUAAAAUAAAAUGCUGACCUGAUGGUCCAUAAAAUGAUAGGUGAUCAGAUUUCAUGCUGAUGGACAUGGUAUAAAUAUACUUAGAUCAGUAGAUCUGAACUAUACGUGUACUUUUCAAUAGCCAUUUGUGUUAUGGACAUGAAAAAUGGAAUAUGUUUAUGGAGGAAUAAGCAUUUGUAUUAGAUCCAAAAUGCUAAACUGAACAAUUUUAGAAGACUUAUUUUAACCAAGAUAAAGAGAAAAUAAUAGUUGAUAGUGGAUGCUCCAAAAGUUUCUGUGUCUUCUCAUAUUCUCAACUUAGAACACUAUUUGGUACAAUACUCAUUUUAGGUGAGAUAAAUGCUAUUUUGAAGCUGGACAAUGCAGAACAGCUAUCAUGUUAGCCUCACUCACAUACACAGUAUAUAAUGUUUCAGAGGUAGCUGUGUUAGUUGUUUUUGUUGAAACUGAUAAGGACUCUGGUGGCAAUUCAAAGACUAACAGUUUUAUUAAUGGCAUCUCAAAACUUAGGCCAUAAUAAAAUUGUGAAUCUUUAAAGUGCCAUCAGACUCCUUGUUGUUUUUACUGUAUGUAAGAAGUUAAUUACAAAUGGAUUCAGGAACCAUAUUUUUGGGUUUGCUUCAGCAGAAUAUUGCUGCCUGUCACUAGUCACAUGAAUGUAACACUUUUUCUUUAUAUAGCUUUGUUCAAGACAUCCCUUAGCUAGAACAAUACAGAUUUGUACAACACAUGACACUAUAUUCAAAUUUUCCCAUCACUCAUGAACCACAAGGAGCUAAUUAGGAGGUGUCCAGGGACUCUCUAUUAUGACAAGCAAAAUAUGUAGUGGCGGAUCCAGGAUGGCUGUAAGUGCUGCUUUUUCAUAUAAAAAUACAUUCUUAAUUUUACUGAUUAACACAUAGAAAUGGUUUAUGUGGUUUAUACUGACGUAAGUGUAUAACGUCUGCAAGGAAUGUGGGCAAAAUCUGAAUAACUCCACUGAACUACAAGUACUCUGACCAAAUCCACUGUAUUCGCACCUGUUGAGAUCAGAGAAUAGCCCUACGGUCAUAUUCUAUUUCCAUAUGUAAUUUUCAAUUACAGCCUGAUCUGCUAAUGUGCUGACCUUGUGCUCUGUGAAAACGAGUGCCAUAAAUUCCAAUUAUGAUCAGUAGAACUUUAGGGUGCUUAGUAUCUUACUCGAUUGGUUCACUCACUACCCACAAUUUUUUUAGCAAAUGAAAUGAGAUGAAAGAAAAGAAAAAAUUGAAAUGUUAAGACAAAGAAUAAAAUCCACUGAAGUCAAUAGCAAAACUCCCAUUCCAGUGAUUCCAGCGAGGCCAGGAUUCUACCUGAAGUCUCUAAAGAUAGUGAAAUCACACAGCUAAAAACGGGAAGGCGUAACCGGCACAUAAGGAAUCAGACCAAAGUGUUGAAAGCAAAACUGAGAGGAUAGUUUAUAGGUACUCUGUUCCUACUCAUGCUGCUUAUGAUUACUGUUAGUGGUUAGCUGCCCCAAAAGGGGCAGCAUGUGGAGAGUUGAGAAGAAAUGAAUGGGUAGACAAUUAUACUCCAUCAGAUGUACUUGAAAUCAAUCACAGAGCAGUUUACUCAGUUAGGCUGUUUUUCUGAGCUCAAUGAUUGCCCGAACAGUUCACUGGAGAACCUUAGUAAUGAUCCGGCUUUCUGCAUAUUGAUUUUUUUAACAGCAUUGUCAUUUCAGCCAAUAGACGUCAUGUAAAGGCUAAAUGAAAAUGUUCCCUUUUAUUGGACAACAAGUGUAUCCAUGUAGGAACUUUCCAGGCAAACAGAGGCAACAAAAAAAAAGAAAGUAUCUCUUCAAACAUUUUAGCAAAGGAUGGGAUGGAAGAAUGGAUAAUAGGGGAGAAAGGGAAGGGGUUACAAUUGGUUGCAUUAAUAUGACUCAAGAACAUUAAUUCUUAUUUAAAUUUGUUUUGUAAAAAAGUAUUUGAAAUCACCUGCAUAUUAGAUAUUUUGUUAUUUAACAAUGUAAAAUAUAUCGUAUAUUUGCCCAAAUCAUUCCACAAAUGUCAUCCACUAUAUUCUGAAGUAGGCCUUAGUCUGUCUGGUCAAAUGUGGAUCCAUAUUCAAAGUUUUGCUCAGGUAAAGAGAAGCUUUUACAAAAUUUACAACCAGAGGAAAAUGUUAUUUAUUGAUCAAACCCAAAGUUUUUAAAAAUAUACACAUUUUCCUAACAUGUUAGCAUGAGGGUGUUGAAGUUUGAAUUGCAAACACACAACAGCCAGAAAACCAGAA
Molecule: non-coding RNA, 4076 nt
Organism: Pelodiscus sinensis (Chinese soft-shelled turtle)
Lineage: Eukaryota; Metazoa; Chordata; Testudines; Trionychidae
Source: RefSeq, a predicted model, not a curated record